Molecule: ribosomal RNA, 1350 nt
Filed under: Klebsiella pneumoniae
Lineage: Bacteria; Pseudomonadati; Pseudomonadota; Gammaproteobacteria; Enterobacterales; Enterobacteriaceae
Description: bacterial SSU rRNA
Rfam family: Bacterial small subunit ribosomal RNA
Source: RNAcentral
CUCGGGUGACGAGCGGCGGACGGGUGAGUAAUGUCUGGGAAACUGCCUGAUGGAGGGGGAUAACUACUGGAAACGGUAGCUAAUACCGCAUAAUGUCGCAAGACCAAAGUGGGGGACCUUCGGGCCUCAUGCCAUCAGAUGUGCCCAGAUGGGAUUAGCUAGUAGGUGGGGUAACGGCUCACCUAGGCGACGAUCCCUAGCUGGUCUGAGAGGAUGACCAGCCACACUGGAACUGAGACACGGUCCAGACUCCUACGGGAGGCAGCAGUGGGGAAUAUUGCACAAUGGGCGCAAGCCUGAUGCAGCCAUGCCGCGUGUGUGAAGAAGGCCUUCGGGUUGUAAAGCACUUUCAGCGGGGAGGAAGGCGGUGAGGUUAAUAACCUUGUCGAUUGACGUUACCCGCAGAAGAAGCACCGGCUAACUCCGUGCCAGCAGCCGCGGUAAUACGGAGGGUGCAAGCGUUAAUCGGAAUUACUGGGCGUAAAGCGCACGCAGGCGGUCUGUCAAGUCGGAUGUGAAAUCCCCGGGCUCAACCUGGGAACUGCAUUCGAAACUGGCAGGCUAGAGUCUUGUAGAGGGGGGUAGAAUUCCAGGUGUAGCGGUGAAAUGCGUAGAGAUCUGGAGGAAUACCGGUGGCGAAGGCGGCCCCCUGGACAAAGACUGACGCUCAGGUGCGAAAGCGUGGGGAGCAAACAGGAUUAGAUACCCUGGUAGUCCACGCCGUAAACGAUGUCGAUUUGGAGGUUGUGCCCUUGAGGCGUGGCUUCCGGAGCUAACGCGUUAAAUCGACCGCCUGGGGAGUACGGCCGCAAGGUUAAAACUCAAAUGAAUUGACGGGGGCCCGCACAAGCGGUGGAGCAUGUGGUUUAAUUCGAUGCAACGCGAAGAACCUUACCUGGUCUUGACAUCCACAGAACUUUCCAGAGAUGGAUUGGUGCCUUCGGGAACUGUGAGACAGGUGCUGCAUGGCUGUCGUCAGCUCGUGUUGUGAAAUGUUGGGUUAAGUCCCGCAACGAGCGCAACCCUUAUCCUUUGUUGCCAGCGGUUAGGCCGGGAACUCAAAGGAGACUGCCAGUGAUAAACUGGAGGAAGGUGGGGAUGACGUCAAGUCAUCAUGGCCCUUACGACCAGGGCUACACACGUGCUACAAUGGCAUAUACAAAGAGAAGCGACCUCGCGAGAGCAAGCGGACCUCAUAAAGUAUGUCGUAGUCCGGAUUGGAGUCUGCAACUCGACUCCAUGAAGUCGGAAUCGCUAGUAAUCGUAGAUCAGAAUGCUACGGUGAAUACGUUCCCGGGCCUUGUACACACCGCCCGUCACACCAUGGGAGUGGGUUGCAAAAGAAGUAGG